UCCUACGGGAGGGCAGCACAAUGGGCGAAAGCCUGAUCCAGCCAUNCCGCGUGUGUGAAGAAGGCCUUCGGGUUGUAAAGCACUUUCAGCGAGGAAGAACGCCUUGGGAUUAAUACUCCCGAGGAAAGACAUCACUCGCAGAAGAAGCACCGGCUAACUCCGUGCCAGCAGCCGCGGUAAUACGGAGGGUGCAAGCGUUAAUCGGAAUUACUGGGCGUAAAGCGCGCGUAGGUGGCUAAGUCAGCCAGGUGUGAAAGCCCCGGGCUCAACCUGGGAACGGCAUCUGGAACUGCUUGGCUAGAGUGCAGGAGAGNAAAAUAGAAUUCCCGGUGUAGCGGUGAAAUGCGUAGAGAUCGGGAGGAAUACCAGUGGCGAAGGCGGCCUUCUGGACUGACACUGACACUGAGGUGCGAAAGCGUGGGUGCAAACAGGAUUAGAUACCCUGGUNGUCCACGCCGUAACGAUUNUCAACNUGCCG
This 478-nucleotide ribosomal RNA is filed under the name Cobetia sp. HCC. RNAcentral describes it as "bacterial SSU rRNA". It matches the Rfam family "Bacterial small subunit ribosomal RNA", at positions 337 to 822 of the family's 1533-position model. Lineage: Bacteria; Pseudomonadati; Pseudomonadota; Gammaproteobacteria; Oceanospirillales; Halomonadaceae. The record is from RNAcentral.